RNAcentral lists this ribosomal RNA (500 nucleotides) under uncultured bacterium. RNAcentral describes it as "partial 16S ribosomal RNA". It matches the Rfam family "Bacterial small subunit ribosomal RNA", at positions 29 to 523 of the family's 1533-position model. The record is from RNAcentral.
AUUGAACGCUGGCGGCAUGCUUUACACAUGCAAGUCGAACGGUAACAGGGUGCUUGCACCGCUGACGAGUGGCGAACGGGUGAGUAAUGCGUCGGAACGUGCCGAGUAGCGGGGGAUAACGCAGCGAAAGUUGUGCUAAUACCGCAUACGUACUGAGGUAGAAAGUGGGGGACCUUCGGGCCUCACGCUAUUCGAGCGGCCGACGUCGGAUUAGCUAGUAGGUGAGGUAAAGGCUCACCUAGGCGACCAUCAGUAGCGGGUCUGAGAGGAUGGUCCGCCACACUGGAGCUGAGACACGGCCCAGACUCCGACGGGCGGCGGCAGUGGGGAAGUUUGGACAGUGGGCGAAGGACUGAUCCAGCCAUGCCGCGUGUCUUAAGAAGGCCUUCGGGUUGUAAAGGACUUUUGUCAGGGAGGAAAUCCCUAGUGCUAAUAACACUGGGGGAUGACAGUACCUGAAGAAUAAGCACCGGCUAACUACGUGCCAGCCGCCGCGGUAA